UGCGUGUCUUACUGGCUGUGACUCAAAACCUAGUGUGCUGCCCACUCAGACAGCAUUUUUGGGCAUUAUAGUCUUUAAAAACUAGUGUUCUGCCUUGGUUCGGGCUUUCUGAACGUGCCCGUGAUGGCCAAAAUUCUGUCUAGAUGAGCAGCUCGCUUGGUUUCGGACAUUCAGUGCCCCUUCUCGAAGUGUCAACCUCUUGUAUCUAAUAGCUGACUCAUCGUUGUUUUCAGCCUUAAUUCCUCAGUUACCCUUUACACUAAUUCCUGGAGUGGUUGUGACCCAGUUCCACCCCUCUUCCCGCUUCACUGCAGGCCUUCCUGAGUCCUGAGCACCAGCAGCUGCGUCCUGCCCCGACUUCCUGUCCUUGGUCGUACAAGGCUAAGCUCGUCAACUCCCCUACCCCCCCACAUACACAAACACACACACAAUCAUCUUCCUGGCACACUGCGGGCCGAGAGCGCUUCAGAUCCCACU
This 477-nucleotide long non-coding RNA is filed under the name Sinocyclocheilus anshuiensis. RNAcentral's name for it is "lncRNA (ENSSANG00000031404.1)". The record is from RNAcentral. Lineage: Eukaryota; Metazoa; Chordata; Actinopteri; Cypriniformes; Cyprinidae.